This 2321-nucleotide long non-coding RNA is filed under the name Mus musculus (house mouse). RNAcentral's name for it is "predicted gene, 31465, transcript variant 2 (Gm31465)". Lineage: Eukaryota; Metazoa; Chordata; Mammalia; Rodentia; Muridae. The record is from RNAcentral.
ACAUAGAGUGAUCCAGACAAUCCUUUAGGGAAAACUUAUUUUUAAAACAAUCUAAAUUCUCAGCAGCUUCAGCUAUUACCACAGAACACUCUAUGGUCUGCUCUCAGUUUGCAGUUCCAUCCUUGCCCUAGCUCUCCUGACUUAUAAAUUUAUGUUUUUGGUACCAGCCUAUCACCAUAAAAUAAAAUAAAAUAAAAUAAAAUAAAAUAAAAUAUAUCACCUUAUUUAUUAAGAUUUCCUUCUCUGUGUCUUCUUGUGUAUUUUCAUUUUAGAAAAUAGCUAAGGAAUCUCUCCUUUUAUAAAUCAUAUUCUCUUCCCCAGGCUAAUAUCUAUAUCUAUAUCAUCUAUAUCUAUAUCUAUAUCUAUAUCUAUAUCUAUAUCUAUCUAUAUCUCUCUGUUCUGUGUGUAUAUUACCUCUCUACAUUUAUAAAUUCACUGUAAUCAUAGAUACAUUCUUGCUUUACUACUAUUACUACUACUACUAUAACUAAUAUUUUGCUAUAUUCCUGUAUAUAUAUUGGAUAUAAUUUUCAUCCACCAAUUUCUCUUGAUGACAGAUACCCUUGGAGCAUGAAAAAAAAAAACUUCUGCUAAUCUUAAAGAGAUUAUGAAUUAUUUCAGUACUGGAAGAGGAAGACCAGGCAGGCACAGCUUCUGGUCCUGCUAUGACAGUACUGUUCUGGGCUUGAGAAUUCUUUGUCUUCCACACUUGGAAAGUGAUUACACCAAAGUCGGAUUCAUUGGAAAUAUAUAAUUUCCUGUCAUGUCUGCAGACCCUGUCAGUAGAGAGAAGUUGAAACGCAUUCCCUGAAUGAAUCAAUGAAGACUAGAAGUGAAAGCCUCAUUAAUGUCUGAGGUUGAAUGCAGCUGGGCUGGCGCAGUCAUAGAAUUUGACUUUUCUUUGCAGUUUCUCAUUAAGCCCACAGAAUUCUUUGUGGGUGUCAUCUGAGCCUGGUGCGUAGGCAGUCACAUGGACAAAGCCUCUAGAGAAGGUUACCAUGCAUUAUUGAGGGAAGUCAAGGCAGGAACUGAAGAACAAGCCAAGGAGGAACACUGAUUAUCAGAUUGAUUCCCAUGAUUGUGCAGCCUGUUUUUGUAUACUUCCUAGGACCACCUGUCCAGGAAGGACAACAUCACCCACAAUGGGCCUGGUCCUCCACAACAAUCAUUAAUCAAGGUUCAGAGGUUCAGUCCAUUAUCAUCAAGAUGGGAGCAUGGUAGCAUCCAGGCAGGCAUGGUGCAGGAGAAGCUGAGCGAUCUACGUCUUCAUCUGAAAGGGGCUAGGACAAGACUGGCUCCCAAGGGGUUAUGAAGAAAUCUCUUAAUUACAGUGAAGCAGCAAUCAAAAACAGAAAAGAGGACUGGCUCAUUCUUAACAAGAAUCUCAAAUGUACUGGGAACACUCUCAACUGGUAAAAUUCUAUCAAAUGUCAAAGGGAUAUAACCAGAAAAAUGAAGCAAUAUUUCAUGCAGAAAAUUUGCAAAAGAAGUGAAACUGAUUCCAAAGCCAAUGGAAACAUUUGGCUUUUAUGUGCUACAAUGAGAACAAACUGCUCUGCUCUUGUUAGCUUAAAGUUUUCAUUAAUCUGUAACUCUCAAAUUUUAUUUUGACUUCAUUUCUGCACAAACCUACGUGUUAAGUUUUAAAGUUAAACAACACAAUUCAAAUGAUUGCAGCUUUCUAUGAGUUUACUUUGUAUAAAUGCUUUUGAAUGUACUUGUGAAUGUUAGAAAUCUACUUUGAAAUAGGUCAUUACUAUGUAAAAGUGCAUAAUAUGUGCAUAUGUACACUGAUGUUUUCCCCUAUUUAUCCAUAUUGUUGUUAUUCAAGAGGAUCAGGAGGAGGUCAGUAUUUGAAGUAUGUACAAAGGUACCAGAGACACAGGAGAAAAAUACUUUAAAAUCCAUGGGAUAAUCAUGUCUCUUACAAAAGUUCUAUGUUUCAAACUCAUUUACAUAUGAGUUAAAAGAAAACAUUAUUUUAUUCAUGUUAGACUUUGAAAGGUCUAACCGCAGGAACAAUUUGUACGAUGGUACAUGAAUGUGUUCACAUUUUGACAAUUUUGCUAGUUUUAAUAACUGACAUUUAGUCCCCUGUUUUCUCACAGAUUAACUUCCUUCAGUUUUAGUCAGGACGGAUCAUCUGGUUUCUCUGUUUCAGUUUCUAUGCCUUUUGAGUUUCUGCUCCUAUUCAUUGAGAACUUUUCUUGUUUGUGGCGUGCAAUCUGCUGUUAAACCAGUACAGCUCAAAGGUAUCACUGUUAGGUUCAGAAGUUGUACCUGCUUCUCCGUAAUAGUAAAUAUGUUGUUGAUUUAAAACA